Clupea harengus (Atlantic herring) is the source of this 515-nucleotide long non-coding RNA. NCBI's taxonomy places the organism in Eukaryota, Metazoa, Chordata, Actinopteri, Clupeiformes, Clupeidae. The record is from Ensembl.
GAACAAAAGAAAAUGUGGACACUGAGGAAACACAGUUACCAGCCUCAUACAAAUAUAAAGACGUUUGUCGGGGCUGACCUUAAGAUGCCUGUACGUGACUGCAGCCACUCUGGUCUCUGAAACAAUGUCAGGACAGGGUGAGAGAAGAACUGCAUCUGAAAUGAGUCACUCCAAGAAGCAUUCUGACACUGAAAGUGUCACAGAGAAGAGACCAGAGUCACCUACACAGAGCUGUGUGUCCAUGAAGAGUGAUUCAUCAAAGGACUUCAACCCACCCAACUUCAGAGAGGGAGAGCUGCCCUCUGAGCAAAGUGUCACAGAGAAGAGACCAGAGUCACCUACACAGAGCUGUGGGUCCAUGGAGAGUGAUGCGUCAAAGGACUUCAACCCACCCAACUUCAGAGAGGGAGAGCUGCCCCCUGAGCAAAGGUAUUUUGAGCUACUCCUACUAUCUCAUCCCCACAUUAAUGUAUGUUCUUCACAGGGCUGGUCCUAUUCUGACUGCAUGUUCAAAA